Molecule: ribosomal RNA, 327 nt
Filed under: uncultured eukaryote
Lineage: Eukaryota
Description: partial 18S ribosomal RNA
Rfam family: Eukaryotic small subunit ribosomal RNA
Source: RNAcentral
CCCUUAGAUGUUCUGGGCCGCACACGCGCUACACUGAAGGAGGCAGCGUGUACUCCUGGAUCGAAAGAUUUGGGUAACCCGCGAAUCUCCUUCGUGCUAGGGAUUGAGGUUUGCAAUUAUCCUUCAUGAACGAGGAAUUCCCAGUAAGUGCAAGUCAUAAGCUUGCGCUGACUACGUCCCUGCCCUUUGUACACACCGCCCGUUGCUACUACCGAUUGAAUGAUUUAGUGAGGACUUCGGACUGGGACCGAUGCGGCUUUCGGGCUGCGUCGGUAUUCUGGAAAGAUGUCCAAACUGUAUCAUUUAGAGGAAGUAAAANUCGUAACA